This 309-nucleotide ribosomal RNA is filed under the name Triticum aestivum (bread wheat). RNAcentral's name for it is "partial small subunit ribosomal RNA". Lineage: Eukaryota; Viridiplantae; Streptophyta; Magnoliopsida; Poales; Poaceae. The record is from RNAcentral.
AUGGCGGCAUAUUUGCGCUCCCAGCUGGUGCUACUCAGGUCGCCAGGGCAGCGACAUCUGUUGAGCUAUCGCUCAUCGUCAUCCUCCGCUGCACCAAGCACUAUUACGCCUCCACCUGCUCCUGCAGGAGGACGUACCAGUUCCAAAGGCUCGCCUAAAUACUGGAUUUAUGGACCUCCCGGCUUAGCAUCGUCUAUGCUAUCCUUGAUGGUGCUACUCACCCCCUCAUCCUCCGAUGUGCCAGCAGCUGAUGGUGCUGUUAUCACUGGGCACGUGCCUUAUGAACCCCCUUUGCAAAAUGCAACAUAG